AUUGAACGCUGGCGGCGGGCUUAACACAUGCAAGUCGAGCGGGGUGAUGGUGCUUGCACUAUCACUUAGCGGCGGACGGGUGAGUAAUGCUUAGGAAUCUGCCUAUUAGUGGGGGACAACAUCUCGAAAGGGAUGCUAAUACCGCAUACGUCCUACGGGAGAAAGCAGGGGAUCACUUGUGACCUUGCGCUAAUAGAUGAGCCUAAGUCGGAUUAGCUAGUUGGUGGGGUAAAGGCCUACCAAGGCGACGAUCUGUAGCGGGUCUGAGAGGAUGAACCGCCACACUGGGACUGAGAAACGGCCCAGACUCCUACGGGAGGCAGCAGUGGGGAAUAUUGGACAAUGGGGGGAACCCUGAUCCAGCCAUGCCGCGUGUGUGAAGAAGGCCUUAUGGUUGUAAAGCACUUUAAGCGAGGAGGAGGCUCUUUUGGUUAAUACCCAAGAUGAGUGGACGUUACUCGCAGAAUAAGCACCGGCUAACUCUGUGCCAGCCGCCGCCGUAA
RNAcentral lists this ribosomal RNA (503 nucleotides) under uncultured bacterium. RNAcentral describes it as "partial 16S ribosomal RNA". It matches the Rfam family "Bacterial small subunit ribosomal RNA", at positions 30 to 523 of the family's 1533-position model. The record is from RNAcentral.